RNAcentral lists this non-coding RNA (105 nucleotides) under Alteromonadaceae bacterium Bs31. RNAcentral's name for it is "TPP riboswitch aptamer (THI element)". It matches the Rfam family "TPP riboswitch aptamer (THI element)". From Rfam's summary of the family: Vitamin B(1) in its active form thiamin pyrophosphate (TPP) is an essential coenzyme that is synthesised by coupling of pyrimidine and thiazole moieties in bacteria. The previously detected thiamin-regulatory element, thi box was extended, resulting in a new, highly conserved RNA secondary structure, the THI element, which is widely distributed in eubacteria and also occurs in some archaea. Analysis of operon structures identified a large number of new candidate thiamin-regulated genes, mostly transporters, in various prokaryotic organisms. Lineage: Bacteria; Pseudomonadati; Pseudomonadota; Gammaproteobacteria; Alteromonadales; Alteromonadaceae. RNAcentral also lists the same sequence under 1 other name. The record is from Rfam by way of RNAcentral.
CGCUCUCCUGAGGGGUGGCUGCAAUACACAGCCUGAGAUGGGAUUUCCCGAACCCUUGAACCUGAUCCGGUUAGUACCGGCGUAGGAAUAGGAAAGCGCAUUUUU